Molecule: small RNA, 181 nt
Filed under: Rhizobium etli
Lineage: Bacteria; Pseudomonadati; Pseudomonadota; Alphaproteobacteria; Hyphomicrobiales; Rhizobiaceae
Also listed under: 1 other name
Description: miscellaneous other RNA
Source: RNAcentral
CCUUCACCGAUCGACGGCAGAGCCGUCCAACCUAAGAGGAUAACAUGCAUAUCAUCUGGGACGUACUGACGCUUCUGCUGACCAUCGGUUCGCUCUAUGGCGGUCGCGAAUACCGGAUUAUUCGCGCCCGUGCCCGCGCUCAGAAUUGGGGCAACUUCUGACCCGGUUCUGACGCCGCUGC